RNAcentral lists this non-coding RNA (30 nucleotides) under Rattus norvegicus (Norway rat). The record is from RNAcentral. Lineage: Eukaryota; Metazoa; Chordata; Mammalia; Rodentia; Muridae.
UGUUGUUUUUACAAUUAUUGGACUGCCGCC